This 2101-nucleotide ribosomal RNA is filed under the name Escherichia coli. RNAcentral's name for it is "partial 23S ribosomal RNA". It matches the Rfam family "Bacterial large subunit ribosomal RNA", at positions 860 to 2925 of the family's 2925-position model. Lineage: Bacteria; Pseudomonadati; Pseudomonadota; Gammaproteobacteria; Enterobacterales; Enterobacteriaceae. The record is from RNAcentral.
CGAAAGCUAUUUAGGUAGCGCCUCGUGAAUUCAUCUCCGGGGGUAGAGCACUGUUUCGGCAAGGGGGUCAUCCCGACUUACCAACCCGAUGCAAACUGCGAAUACCGGAGAAUGUUAUCACGGGAGACACACGGCGGGUGCUAACGUCCGUCGUGAAGAGGGAAACAACCCAGACCGCCAGCUAAGGUCCCAAAGUCAUGGUUAAGUGGGAAACGAUGUGGGAAGGCCCAGACAGCCAGGAUGUUGGCUUAGAAGCAGCCAUCAUUUAAAGAAAGCGUAAUAGCUCACUGGUCGAGUCGGCCUGCGCGGAAGAUGUAACGGGGCUAAACCAUGCACCGAAGCUGCGGCAGCGACACUAUGUGUUGUUGGGUAGGGGAGCGUUCUGUAAGCCUGUGAAGGUGUACUGUGAGGUAUGCUGGAGGUAUCAGAAGUGCGAAUGCUGACAUAAGUAACGAUAAAGCGGGUGAAAAGCCCGCUCGCCGGAAGACCAAGGGUUCCUGUCCAACGUUAAUCGGGGCAGGGUGAGUCGACCCCUAAGGCGAGGCCGAAAGGCGUAGUCGAUGGGAAACAGGUUAAUAUUCCUGUACUUGGUGUUACUGCGAAGGGGGGACGGAGAAGGCUAUGUUGGCCGGGCGACGGUUGUCCCGGUUUAAGCGUGUAGGCUGGUUUUCCAGGCAAAUCCGGAAAAUCAAGGCUGAGGCGUGAUGACGAGGCACUACGGUGCUGAAGCAACAAAUGCCCUGCUUCCAGGAAAAGCCUCUAAGCAUCAGGUAACAUCAAAUCGUACCCCAAACCGACACAGGUGGUCAGGUAGAGAAUACCAAGGCGCUUGAGAGAACUCGGGUGAAGGAACUAGGCAAAAUGGUGCCGUAACUUCGGGAGAAGGCACGCUGAUAUGUAGGUGAAGUCCCUCGCGGAUGGAGCUGAAAUCAGUCGAAGAUACCAGCUGGCUGCAACUGUUUAUUAAAAACACAGCACUGUGCAAACACGAAAGUGGACGUAUACGGUGUGACGCCUGCCCGGUGCCGGAAGGUUAAUUGAUGGGGUUAGCGGUAACGCGAAGCUCUUGAUCGAAGCCCCGGUAAACGGCGGCCGUAACUAUAACGGUCCUAAGGUAGCGAAAUUCCUUGUCGGGUAAGUUCCGACCUGCACGAAUGGCGUAAUGAUGGCCAGGCUGUCUCCACCCGAGACUCAGUGAAAUUGAACUCGCUGUGAAGAUGCAGUGUACCCGCGGCAAGACGGAAAGACCCCGUGAACCUUUACUAUAGCUUGACACUGAACAUUGAGCCUUGAUGUGUAGGAUAGGUGGGAGGCUUUGAAGUGUGGACGCCAGUCUGCAUGGAGCCGGCCUUGAAAUACCACCCUUUAAUGUUUGAUGUUCUAACGUUGGCCCCUGACCGGGGUUGCGGACAGUGUCUGGUGGGUAGUUUGACUGGGGCGGUCUCCUCCUAAAGAGUAACGGAGGAGCACGAAGGUUGGCUAAUCCUGGUCGGACAUCAGGAGGUUAGUGCAAUGGCAUAAGCCAGCUUGACUGCGAGCGUGACGGCGCGAGCAGGUGCGAAAGCAGGUCAUAGUGAUCCGGUGGUUCUGAAUGGAAGGGCCAUCGCUCAACGGAUAAAAGGUACUCCGGGGAUAACAGGCUGAUACCGCCCAAGAGUUCAUAUCGACGGCGGUGUUUGGCACCUCGAUGUCGGCUCAUCACAUCCUGGGGCUGAAGUAGGUCCCAAGGGUAUGGCUGUUCGCCAUUUAAAGUGGUACGCGAGCUGGGUUUAGAACGUCGUGAGACAGUUCGGUCCCUAUCUGCCGUGGGCGCUGGAGAACUGAGGGGGGCUGCUCCUAGUACGAGAGGACCGGAGUGGACGCAUCACUGGUGUUCGGGUUGUCAUGCCAAUGGCACUGCCCGGUAGCUAAAUGCGGAAGAGAUAAGUGCUGAAAGCAUCUAAGCACGAAACUUGCCCCGAGAUGAGUUCUCCCUGACUCCUUGAGAGUCCUGAAGGAACGUUGAAGACGACGACGUUGAUAGGCCGGGUGUGUAAGCGCAGCGAUGCGUUGAGCUAACCGGUACUAAUGAACCGUGAGGCUUAACCUUACAACGCCGAAG